UACGGAGGAUCCAAGCGUUAUCCGGAAUCAUUGGGUUUAAAGGGUCCGUAGGCGGUUUGGUAAGUCAGUGGUGAAAGCCCAUCGCUCAACGGUGGAACGGCCAUUGAUACUGCCAGACUUGAAUUAUUAGGAAGUAACUAGAAUAUGUAGUGUAGCGGUGAAAUGCUUAGAGAUUACAUGGAAUACCAAUUGCGAAGGCAGGUUACUACUAAUGGAUUGACGCUGAGUGGACGAAAGCGUGGGUAGCAAACAGG
RNAcentral lists this ribosomal RNA (254 nucleotides) under uncultured bacterium. RNAcentral describes it as "partial 16S ribosomal RNA". It matches the Rfam family "Bacterial small subunit ribosomal RNA", at positions 524 to 776 of the family's 1533-position model. The record is from RNAcentral.